This 2920-nucleotide ribosomal RNA is filed under the name Staphylococcus aureus M0699. Its description in RNAcentral is "bacterial LSU rRNA". It matches the Rfam family "Bacterial large subunit ribosomal RNA". The record is from RNAcentral. Lineage: Bacteria; Bacillati; Bacillota; Bacilli; Caryophanales; Staphylococcaceae.
UUAAGUUAUUAAGGGCGCACGGUGGAUGCCUUGGCACUAGAAGCCGAUGAAGGACGUUACUAACGACGAUAUGCUUUGGGGAGCUGUAAGUAAGCUUUGAUCCAGAGAUUUCCGAAUGGGGAAACCCAGCAUGAGUUAUGUGAUGUUAUCGAUAUGUGAAUACAUAGCAUAUCAGAAGGCACACCCGGAGAACUGAAACAUCUUAGUACCCGGAGGAAGAGAAAGAAAAUUCGAUUCCCUUAGUAGCGGCGAGCGAAACGGGAAGAGCCCAAACCAACAAGCUUGCUUGUUGGGGUUGUAGGACACUCCAUACGGAGUUACAAAGGACGACAUUAGACGAAUCAUCUGGAAAGAUGAAUCAAAGAAGGUAAUAAUCCUGUAGUCGAAAAUGUUGUCUCUCUUGAGUGGAUCCUGAGUACGACGGAGCACGUGAAAUUCCGUCGGAAUCUGGGAGGACCAUCUCCUAAGGCUAAAUACUCUCUAGUGACCGAUAGUGAACCAGUACCGUGAGGGAAAGGUGAAAAGCACCCCGGAAGGGGAGUGAAAUAGAACCUGAAACCGUGUGCUUACAAGUAGUCAGAGCCCGUUAAUGGGUGAUGGCGUGCCUUUUGUAGAAUGAACCGGCGAGUUACGAUUUGAUGCAAGGUUAAGCAGUAAAUGUGGAGCCGUAGCGAAAGCGAGUCUGAAUAGGGCGUUUAGUAUUUGGUCGUAGACCCGAAACCAGGUGAUCUACCCUUGGUCAGGUUGAAGUUCAGGUAACACUGAAUGGAGGACCGAACCGACUUACGUUGAAAAGUGAGCGGAUGAACUGAGGGUAGCGGAGAAAUUCCAAUCGAACCUGGAGAUAGCUGGUUCUCUCCGAAAUAGCUUUAGGGCUAGCCUCAAGUGAUGAUUAUUGGAGGUAGAGCACUGUUUGGACGAGGGGCCCCUCUCGGGUUACCGAAUUCAGACAAACUCCGAAUGCCAAUUAAUUUAACUUGGGAGUCAGAACAUGGGUGAUAAGGUCCGUGUUCGAAAGGGAAACAGCCCAGACCACCAGCUAAGGUCCCAAAAUAUAUGUUAAGUGGAAAAGGAUGUGGCGUUGCCCAGACAACUAGGAUGUUGGCUUAGAAGCAGCCAUCAUUUAAAGAGUGCGUAAUAGCUCACUAGUCGAGUGACACUGCGCCGAAAAUGUACCGGGGCUAAACAUAUUACCGAAGCUGUGGAUUGUCCUUUGGACAAUGGUAGGAGAGCGUUCUAAGGGCGUUGAAGCAUGAUCGUAAGGACAUGUGGAGCGCUUAGAAGUGAGAAUGCCGGUGUGAGUAGCGAAAGACGGGUGAGAAUCCCGUCCACCGAUUGACUAAGGUUUCCAGAGGAAGGCUCGUCCGCUCUGGGUUAGUCGGGUCCUAAGCUGAGGCCGACAGGCGUAGGCGAUGGAUAACAGGUUGAUAUUCCUGUACCACCUAUAAUCGUUUUAAUCGAUGGGGGACGCAGUAGGAUAGGCGAAGCGUGCGAUUGGAUUGCACGUCUAAGCAGUAAGGCUGAGUAUUAGGCAAAUCCGGUACUCGUUAAGGCUGAGCUGUGAUGGGGAGAAGACAUUGUGUCUUCGAGUCGUUGAUUUCACACUGCCGAGAAAAGCCUCUAGAUAGAAAAUAGGUGCCCGUACCGCAAACCGACACAGGUAGUCAAGAUGAGAAUUCUAAGGUGAGCGAGCGAACUCUCGUUAAGGAACUCGGCAAAAUGACCCCGUAACUUCGGGAGAAGGGGUGCUCUUUAGGGUUAACGCCCAGAAGAGCCGCAGUGAAUAGGCCCAAGCGACUGUUUAUCAAAAACACAGGUCUCUGCUAAACCGUAAGGUGAUGUAUAGGGGCUGACGCCUGCCCGGUGCUGGAAGGUUAAGAGGAGUGGUUAGCUUCUGCGAAGCUACGAAUCGAAGCCCCAGUAAACGGCGGCCGUAACUAUAACGGUCCUAAGGUAGCGAAAUUCCUUGUCGGGUAAGUUCCGACCCGCACGAAAGGCGUAACGAUUUGGGCACUGUCUCAACGAGAGACUCGGUGAAAUCAUAGUACCUGUGAAGAUGCAGGUUACCCGCGACAGGACGGAAAGACCCCGUGGAGCUUUACUGUAGCCUGAUAUUGAAAUUCGGCACAGCUUGUACAGGAUAGGUAGGAGCCUUUGAAACGUGAGCGCUAGCUUACGUGGAGGCGCUGGUGGGAUACUACCCUAGCUGUGUUGGCUUUCUAACCCGCACCACUUAUCGUGGUGGGAGACAGUGUCAGGCGGGCAGUUUGACUGGGGCGGUCGCCUCCUAAAAGGUAACGGAGGCGCUCAAAGGUUCCCUCAGAAUGGUUGGAAAUCAUUCAUAGAGUGUAAAGGCAUAAGGGAGCUUGACUGCGAGACCUACAAGUCGAGCAGGGUCGAAAGACGGACUUAGUGAUCCGGUGGUUCCGCAUGGAAGGGCCAUCGCUCAACGGAUAAAAGCUACCCCGGGGAUAACAGGCUUAUCUCCCCCAAGAGUUCACAUCGACGGGGAGGUUUGGCACCUCGAUGUCGGCUCAUCGCAUCCUGGGGCUGUAGUCGGUCCCAAGGGUUGGGCUGUUCGCCCAUUAAAGCGGUACGCGAGCUGGGUUCAGAACGUCGUGAGACAGUUCGGUCCCUAUCCGUCGUGGGCGUAGGAAAUUUGAGAGGAGCUGUCCUUAGUACGAGAGGACCGGGAUGGACAUACCUCUGGUGUACCAGUUGUCGUGCCAACGGCAUAGCUGGGUAGCUAUGUGUGGACGGGAUAAGUGCUGAAAGCAUCUAAGCAUGAAGCCCCCCUCAAGAUGAGAUUUCCCAACUUCGGUUAUAAGAUCCCUCAAAGAUGAUGAGGUUAAUAGGUUCGAGGUGGAAGCAUGGUGACAUGUGGAGCUGACGAAUACUAAUCGAUCGAAGACUUAAUCAA